UCGAACGGUAACGACAGAAACAAUCCUUCGGGUGCGUUUCUGGGCGACGAGUGGCGGACGGGUGAGUAAUACAUAGGAAUCUGCCCAGUAGCGGGGGACAACCUGGUGAAAACCAGGCUAAUACCGCAUACGCCCUACGGGGGAAAGCAGGAGAUCUUCGGACCUUGCACUAUUGGAUGAGCCUAUGUCUGAUUAGCUUGUUGGUAGGGUAACGGCCUACCAAGGCGACGAUCAGUAGCUGGUCUGAGAGGACGAUCAGCCACACUGGGACUGAGACACGGCCCAGACUCCUACGGGAGGCAGCAGUGGGGAAUAUUGGACAAUGGGCGCAAGCCUGAUCCAGCAAUGCCGCGUGUGUGAAGAAGGCCUGCGGGUUGUAAAGCACUUUUAGUAGGGAAGAAAACUUGGGAAUUAAUACCUCCCAAGCUUGACGUUACUUACAGAAAAAGCACCGGCUAACUCCGUGCCAGCAGCCGCGGUAAUACGGAGGGUGCGAGCGUUAAUCGGAAUUACUGGGCGUAAAGCGCGCGUAGGCGGUUUGGUAAGUCGGAUGUGAAAGCCCUGGGCUCAACCUGGGAAUUGCAUUCGAUACUGCCAGGCUA
This 602-nucleotide ribosomal RNA is filed under the name uncultured bacterium. RNAcentral's name for it is "bacterial SSU rRNA". It matches the Rfam family "Bacterial small subunit ribosomal RNA", at positions 62 to 643 of the family's 1533-position model. The record is from RNAcentral.